CUUUAGCCAGAACAGAGCUGUAUGGUAUCCACUGGCUCCCACCUCCCUCACUGCUUCUCACUCUUGUUUAACUUUAGCCAGAACAGAGCUGUAUGGUAUCCACUGGCUCCCUCCCACUCACUGCUUCUCACUCUUGUUUUACUUCAGUCAUCACUAUUAUUCAUCAGAUGAGUCAUACAAAUAUUGCUUUUUUUUCAUUAAUUAGUAUAGAUAUAUUACUAUAAUAAUCUGUGUUUAUUAAUAUCUGUAGCCUUGAUAUACUUCAUCAAGAACUUAUUGCCAUGUAUACACUGGUAUAAUGACAGCUCAUUAAAAAGUAAUUUAUUUUAUAAAAUAUAUUACAGUAAUUUAUUAUUCAAAUAUAUACUGUACCCUGUGUUGUCUUUAAUGGGGAUACUGUACAGUGGUCUAAUCGGCCUAACGAGAGCUUGUGGGUACUGUGCAGACAUGACCCUGCUGGAGGUGAGGGAACUGCCAGUUGUCAUCAUCGUAAAGUUUGUUAUUAUUUAUUCAUUAUUAUGCAGUAUUUUCGUAUGAGCAGCCUAUUAUGGUGUAUGUUUCAUCAUAAAUAAUGUAACAUACAGUAUUAAAUAAUAGGAAAAAUACAAUAUAUAAUUUUUCUUCAAAUAAAAUAACACCGAGUCAGAAGGUAAUCUCUUCCCUGUUGGGGGCGUCCCAGGACUAAUUGUUGCCAUAUGCUUAUGGUGUAUGUUUCAUCAUUAUAAUAACAAAUAUUAACCGCAGCGCCCCGGGUGACGUUCCAGAACGUUCGCCUAUUUUCCAGCCAUUUUUUUUUUUUUUUUGAAAAGUUGAAUGUUUUUCUUGGUUAAUCCCUGCGGCGGGGAGCCUGACCCGGGGCUUAAGGGUUAGAUAAUAGAAAAAUUAUGAAUUAUAGUUUGUAAAUUGACUUCAAAAUCAUGGAGACAUGAACUAUGCCAGGUGUGUGUGAGACAUGAACUAUGCCAGGUGUGUGAGACAUGGACUAUGCCAGGUGUGUGUGAGACAUGAACUAUGCCAGGUGUGUGUGAGACAUGAACUAUGCCAGGUGUGUGUGAGAGACAUGAACUAUGCCAGGUGUGUGUGAGACAUGAACUAUGCCAGGUGUGUGAGACAUGAACUAUGCCAGGUGUGUGUGUGACAUGAACUAUGCCAGGUGUGUGAGACAUGGACUAUGCCAGGUGUGUGUGAGACAUGGAUGAUACAACACACUGCUCUCUUUCCAGGAGGACUACCAUCACUAUUGUCUGAAUUAUUUUACCCAAAAUAUUACCAUUUUUCUGUGACUGAAUGUGUCUUGAACUUACAGCUAACCAAUCACAGUGCAGCAUUAUGGGUGAAUCUAUUCUAAGAGUGGGAGGAUUAAACUGCUCACUCGUAGAUUCGAAUGGAAGACAGAGGUCAAGGGAUUGCCGGCUGGUGGCAGUUUUAAAUGACUGAGCACGACAGGAAUUUCAAACAAGAAAUAUUUAAGGGUUUUGAGAAAUGUUUCUUGCCCGGAAAGGGUCUGGACUUUCGAGGGUUUACAAUAUACAUAACUGGUCUCGGAGUUGUGGGAUUACAGAACGGGGUCCCCGGGUUACGAACGGGUUCUGUUCCUGAGGAAGUUAGUAAGUUGGAACACAAGCUAUAUGCGUACUGUACUGUACUUACAAAACAAUGUUUAAAAUUCCACUAUGGUAUAUCAUAGUCUUAAGUCCUUAUAUACAUCUAAAAUCACUUAAUUUAAAACAAAAGGAAAAUAGAAUGACAAAAUACAGUAAAUGAAAGAAAAAUAAGUCAUUAGGUAAAUAAAAUACAGUACUGUAAAUUUCAAGUUUAACCUCGUGCUUCUCGGCAGACGUUCAUAAGUCGGGGACCUGUACUGGAUACACUUUUGGGUGUUGAUAAAUACUGGGUUACUCUUAGAAGGUUCCUUUAAUGUGACCAACCCUGAGUUCAUGUUUUCAUAUACAGUAUAUAACUUCCCCCAGCUGAUGGGGUGAUUCCUCUAAUGGAUCAUUUGUCUAAAUGUUUAACUUGAAAAACUUAAUUUAAAGGCUCCAUAAAAAUUUCCUUAAAAUUCCCCUAAAACUUCCCUUGUUCUACCCCAGCCAUCCAUUUCAUAUGGGUGGAGGAAAGAUUCACCAAUAUAAUACAGUUGAUAACAGGUAAACAAUUUACACCAAUUUUAAUGUUAAUCACGAGUAAAACAGGCGUACUGUCUGAUUCCUGUAAACGUAUGUAAUCAAACUAAACUAUGACAAUCUUUCAGUCCAAUAGCUUUAUAUUAUAAUGUAUUGUGCUAUCACUCAGUGGAAACUAAUUUAUAUAUAGUAUGAGGAAAUUUGCUCUUUCAUGUAUGACCAUGACAAAUUACUGUAGAGGUAUUAAAUGAAUUUUUUCCUCGGUACAGUACUGACACGAGAGGUUUCCAAUAACUCCCUACACCUUAAGGACUUGUGUAGCUUAACGGAAAUAGUUGACAGAUAUUAGAAAUUGGUUUCUUUUGAUGUACAGUACAGUAGGGGACCAAUACCUCAGUUAUGCACAAAUCUUUAUACAACUUGUUUGAUAUCGUAUACUACCGUACCGUACUUGUUGAACUCAUUCACUCACUCGGUUUACUGUAGGUUGUAAUUGUGUGGGUAGAAAAGUUUGUUGAUAAUUGAAAGUAUUAAGAAUAAACUUUAUUGAUGUAGCUGUAGAAAUUGUACAGAAAAAGGCAUGAUAUAGAAAAGUUAUUAGUACAUUCCUAUGUUAAUAUUUUGGUGUUCAAAUCUCUGGUAACUGUUAUGUUCCAGCACAGUUUGCAUUUACUUAUUUAUUUACUAUUUUUUAUAAAUAUCUUUGCAUCUUGUCAACAAUUAUUGGACUGCAUGUAUUGUACAGACCAUUAAUAGUAUUGUAAAGGGAAACAUGGAGUUAGGAUGAGCAAGAAUACAGGUUAUGUGUACAGUACUGUGUGUUAUGUAUGGUCUUUGAUUUACGUUAAGAUCCAGAGUCGCCCAUAAACAAAAGAUGUGACAUAAUGUAAAUUGGGAUAAAACAAUGGCAUAAGAAACAACUAUCUUAUAAUCAGGCUCCUCUUUGUUUACAUGUAGUAAAUAUUAAUAACAAAUAGAGAUUAUCAUGUAAAUAAAGUUGUGGAUUAUUCAGUCCACAACUGAACCUCUUGGCAAAAUGUUCUUAUAGUCCAGCCGAUUCCCUGCCAGACAACUGCUUAGCCCAGAGAGACCAAAUUAUUGUUGUUGCUUUAUUUAUAGUUUUUCACGUUAAGAUUGUGAUCAAAUUUGAUACAGUAUUAUUAAAUCCCUAUACUUACCCCCUGGUCUGAAGAAAAGUAAACAUAUUUUCUAGAGGGAAAGAGAAUAUUUUCCUUUUAAGCACAGUGGAGUUAACAGUAACAAGUGUAGGCUACCAGAAGUCAGAGUGAAUGAUGCUGUAUUAACCUAAAUUUGAAAUAAGUUGAUGGUGCUCUUUAUUUGAUAUUAGACAUUUCAGGUUCAGGUAACAUUGAAGAUUACUGAUGAGAGAAUAAGGUGUGUCAGUAACCAUCACUGACUGACCAGAUCAUGUCUGCUGGAGUAUUUAUUGUCAUCCAUUAGUUUGGUAGAUUACAGCAACUAAAAGAGACGCCUCAUCCCGGUGAAUGUAGUCUAAGACAACAAUUAUAAAUAGUCUAUACCUGAAGUAACAGUAUGAUGUAAUGUAAAUAGUAGCUAAGAGUUAGUUCAGAAUAUAUAUAUAUAUAUAUAUAUAUAUAUAUAUAUAUAUAUAUAUAUAUAUAUAUAUAUAUAUAUAUAUAUAUAUAUAUAUAUAUAUAUAUCCUUAAAUGUUCAUGUUUGACAAACUAGACUUAAGUAUAAGCUGUAUGUGCUUCUUGCUGGUCCCAGAUAAUACAUUGUAUCUUGUGUAUUUUUAAUAAAUUAUAAACAAUUACAAGCAGUGCUUGUAAUUGUUUAUGUUCUCAAAAUGUUCCUAAAAUUUUUAAUUUUUCUCAUUACACCUUAGGUAGCCUUCAAUAUGUGAAGCUCACUUUAUCAAUAUUUACCACAACUUGAUGUACUGUUACAGUCUUGAAGUGACGUACCUAACCCGUGUCUUCGUCACUUUACCCACAAACAAGUUUACGUUGUAAUUAACCAGGAUCCUGAUUUUCAUCAUCAUGACAAUACAUUUAAUAUAUUCACUUAUACUUUGUUAGUACAGUAUAAGCAUUGUUUAAUCACACAUGAGGACUGAUACACUACUACUGGUAGAUAUUUCUUAUUAAAGUCCAUCCUGGUGAUUAAUAACCAAAACCAAAGAGGAAACCCCAUUGACACAUAUCCCUUGUGUCACGUGUUGGCUGGUACAGUAUAUACUCUAUUAUCAAGGCACAAGUGUUGAUAUUGUGAAAACAUAUACGGAGUGGUUAUCAUCACAAUAACACGUGUGUUGGCCCCAUCCAUGACUAUAUGUGUAAUAAUAGUUUGGAGAUUAAAAUAUUUAUCAACCAUCAGAGUUAAGGCUGACUGUCUGACUCAGGGAUGUUUAUGUUUGCAGAUGCCAAGUAAUGAUUGUGUAUCACAUUGUCCUCUGAUUAAUACUCUGUAAAGCAUCAAAUAGAUUCACUACUCCUCUACAUUUCCUAAACACCUUUGACUAUUGUUUCAUCUUGUUCAAAUUUUCAUGUCAGUUCAAUAUAUCCUUGUUUUUAAUAGUAUUACAGUAUAUAUUGAUGAUUCAGGUGCAUUAUAUCAUAGUAACAUUCAUACGAUGUUGCAGUAGUUUGUGGUAAUGAAGUGUAGUUUACCAUGUUUUAUUUUGUAUUGUACAUUUUUUCUAUACUGUACAAAGUAAAAUAGUAUAUAAACAUUGAAACAUAA
Molecule: long non-coding RNA, 4847 nt
Organism: Homarus americanus (American lobster)
Lineage: Eukaryota; Metazoa; Arthropoda; Malacostraca; Decapoda; Nephropidae
Exons: 2
Source: RefSeq, a predicted model, not a curated record